UCAGGCCUAACACAUGCAAGUCGAGGGGUAGAAGGAGCUUGCUCCUUUGAGACAGGCGCACGGGUGCGUAACGCGUAUGCAAUCUACCUUUUACAGAGGGAUAGCCCAGAGAAAUUUGGAUUAAUACCUCAUAGUAUAUAACCUUCGCAUGUUGGUUAUAUUAAAGUUCCAACGGUAAAAGAUGAGCAUGCGUCCUAUUAGCUAGUUGGUGUGGUAACGGCACACCAAGGCAACGAUAGAUAGGGGUCCUGAGAGGGAGAUCCCCCACACUGGUACUGAGACACGGACCAGACUCCUACGGGAGGCAGCAGUGAGGAAUAUUGGACAAUGGGCGCAAGCC
RNAcentral lists this ribosomal RNA (340 nucleotides) under uncultured bacterium. RNAcentral's name for it is "bacterial SSU rRNA". It matches the Rfam family "Bacterial small subunit ribosomal RNA", at positions 43 to 383 of the family's 1533-position model. The record is from RNAcentral.